Molecule: unclassified non-coding RNA, 561 nt
Filed under: Hevea brasiliensis (rubber tree)
Lineage: Eukaryota; Viridiplantae; Streptophyta; Magnoliopsida; Malpighiales; Euphorbiaceae
Source: RNAcentral
GGAAAAUGAACAAGUACAAGAAAUAGUCGAAGAGGAAGAAAGUGAGGAUGCUAUGAAGAAUGUCUCAGAAGAAAGUGAUGUAAAUUCUACUGACACGGACAGUUAUGGAGCAAAGAGUAGUAUCCUGAAUAAUGAGAGAUUAAAGCAUGUAAAGUCAGUUAGGUCAUCAGCAGAACCUAAUAGAGUAAGAGGGUCUGUCAGGGGCAAUCAACUUUUAGCACAAGAUAAAUUGAUUAGUACUCAAGAUUUAGGAAAUGAGUGGAAAAAUCGAAAUGCGCAUUCAACAAUUCUUUUGGAAAACAAACUCCAUAAGUUGGAGCAAAGAGUAAAGAUGGCAGAAGGAGAAUUGAGAGAAGCUGCUGCAAUUGAAGUUGGCCUCUAUUCGGUUGUUGCAGAGCAUGGGAGUUCCACAAAUAAGGUACAUGCUCCUGCAAGACGUCUGUCGAGGUUCUAUUUCCAUGCCUGUAAAGAUGACUCUCUAUUGAAAAGGGGAUCUGCUGCUAAAAGUGCUGUCUCUGGAUUAAUUUUGGUUGCAAGAGCAUGUGGAAAUGAUGUUCCAAG